UUAAUGACUCUCGGCAACGGAUAUCUCGGCUCUCGCAUCGAUGAAGAACGUAGCGAAAUGCGAUACUUGGUGUGAAUUGCAGAAUCCCGUGAACCAUCGAGUCUUUGAACGCAAGUUGCGCCCGAAGCCAUUUGGUUGAGGGCACGUCUGCCUGGGCGUCACGU
RNAcentral lists this ribosomal RNA (164 nucleotides) under Bergenia purpurascens. RNAcentral's name for it is "5.8S ribosomal RNA". It matches the Rfam family "5.8S ribosomal RNA". From Rfam's summary of the family: 5.8S ribosomal RNA (5.8S rRNA) is a component of the large subunit of the eukaryotic ribosome. It is transcribed by RNA polymerase I as part of the 45S precursor that also contains 18S and 28S rRNA. Lineage: Eukaryota; Viridiplantae; Streptophyta; Magnoliopsida; Saxifragales; Saxifragaceae. The record is from RNAcentral.